RNAcentral lists this ribosomal RNA (740 nucleotides) under uncultured archaeon. RNAcentral describes it as "bacterial SSU rRNA". It matches the Rfam family "Archaeal small subunit ribosomal RNA", at positions 118 to 859 of the family's 1478-position model. The record is from RNAcentral.
GGACCGGGAUAACCCUGGGAAACUGGGGAUAAUACUGGAUAGGCAAUUUUUCCUGUAAUGGUUUUUGUUUAAAUGUUUUUUCGCCUAAGGAUGGGUCUGCGGCCGAUUAGGUAGUUGGUUAGGUAAUGGCUUACCAAGCCGUUGAUCGGUACGGGUUGUGAGAGCAAGAGCCCGGAGAUGGAACCUGAGACAAGGUUCCAGGCCCUACGGGGUGCAGCAGGCGCGAAACCUCCGCAAUGUGAGAAAUCGCGACGGGGGGAUCCCAAGUGCCAUUCUUAACGGGAUGGCUUUUCAUUAGUGUAAAGAGCUUUUGGAAUAAGGGCUGGGCAAGACCGGUGCCAGCCGCCGCGGUAACACCGGCAGCUCUAGUGGUAGCAGUUUUUAUUGGGCCUAAAGCGUCCGUAGCCGGUUUAAUAAGUCUCUGGUGAAAUCCUGUAGCUUAACUGUGGGAAUUGCUGGAGAUACUAUUAGACUUGAGACCGGGAGAGGUUAGAGGUACUCCCAGGGUAGAGGUGAAAUUCUGUAAUCCUGGGAGGACCGCCUGUUGCGAAGGCGUCUAACUGGAACGGUUCUGACGGUGAGGGACGAAAGUUAGGGGCGCGAACCGGAUUAGAUACCCGGGUAGUCCUAACUGUAAACGAUGCGGACUUGGUGUUGGGGUGGCUUUGAGCUGCUCCAGUGCCGAAGGGAAGCUGUUAAGUCCGCCGCCUGGGAAGUACGGUCGCAAGACUGAAACUUAA